This is a long non-coding RNA of Aquila chrysaetos chrysaetos, 132 nucleotides long. RefSeq lists it as uncharacterized. NCBI's taxonomy places the organism in Eukaryota, Metazoa, Chordata, Aves, Accipitriformes, Accipitridae. The record is from RefSeq and is a predicted model, not a curated record. The transcript is spliced from 3 exons.
GUGUCUCUUGUACUGGUGAGCCCAGAACCUGAAUCAGCACUCCAGAUGUGUCUCACCAGGACUGAGCAGAGGGGAAGGAUCACCUUCCUCAAUUUGCUGGCAAUGCUCUCUGCCUAAUGCAGACAAGGAGAU